CUGCCUCUUUUUUUCCUCUUUUCAGUCGAGACCUCUUCUCUUCUCUUCCCAGUGGACUAUGCCUCCUAUUCUCUUCUCUUCUCUUCAGUCGACAACGCCUCCUCUUCUCUUUUCUUUUCUUCAGUCGACGACGCCUCCUCCCAUCUCUCUUCUCUUCUCCGUCAAAGCCCAGCCACCCGAAGCCCUCCAUUGCAGCCCAGCCACCUGAAGCCCUCCGUUGCAGCCUAGCCAUCUGAAGCGGUAGCAACCCAACAACCUGAAGACCUCCCAACCAAAGCCAUCCUCCAUUCUGCUUCGUAUUGUAGCGAGGCGACACUCAUCUGAUCAUCUCUCUUUUGGAAUCAUUUUUUUUCUAUAUUUGGCUAGCGCCAGCCCCACCACCACCAUUUCCAGAAGGCUACAUCCCCUCACGAACACAGAAUCGGAAAAUGGCCCUGAAACCCAACAAAUGGGGGAGGCACAACCACCUCCCCUUGACCCAUCAUUGAUCAAGGCCCAGCUAAAAGAAUGAAAUUCUGAAUAAGAGGUGUCGCAUCAUAAGUUGUCUGUCUAGAUCUGAAGCUAAGUUAAUCGCUACAACUUUAAAUAUCCGCUAACUCCUAGGCCUUUUUCGGUUGUGGUAAAGAUCUGAAGCUAAGCUAACUUAAUCACAACAACUUUAUAUAUGUUGUGGUAGUUUUCAUUUCAGUUGUUCUUCAGAGUGAGUACAAGGAUAAAAAGAAGAAAUAUAUGUUGUUGGACAAUGAAUUUAGUGUUUUAUUUUAUCUGUAAUUUUUAUUAGAGUAAUUGAUUCUUUGUAAAUACUUUGUAUAAGUUUUGUUAUUUUAAUCUAUAAUUUUUUAGAUUUGUAUAUAAA
Molecule: long non-coding RNA, 856 nt
Organism: Humulus lupulus (European hop)
Lineage: Eukaryota; Viridiplantae; Streptophyta; Magnoliopsida; Rosales; Cannabaceae
Exons: 2
Source: RefSeq, a predicted model, not a curated record